Molecule: long non-coding RNA, 385 nt
Organism: Sapajus apella (tufted capuchin)
Lineage: Eukaryota; Metazoa; Chordata; Mammalia; Primates; Cebidae
Exons: 3
Source: RefSeq, a predicted model, not a curated record
CAGUGAGCAGAGGGAUGACUUUGAGUGGAAUGGAGGCAGGUUUGCCUCCCAGCUUGACUUUUCUCUUUAACUUACUGAUUUUGGGGCCCCAAGAUUUAUUUUCCUUUCACAAUUCAUAUGAUAAACGGAGUGUUUUAUUCUCAGGGCCUAAACUGAAGCGUGAUCGUUUUUCUGCUAUUAUCUUCCUUUGGCCUUUUCUUUUCUCUGUAGAAGGAAGGAGACUUAUAUGCUCUUAUUUAUACCUAGUUCCUUUUUUUAGUUGGCUAAUUACAUACUUAAAAUAACUGGUUUCUAACAAAGUCUCGUGAGAUUUACAUCUUGUGUUUUUAGGGUCAUGAGUGAGAUAAUUGUCUUAGUUUGGCAGACACAUGGCUUUCAUUUGGUG